This 582-nucleotide ribosomal RNA is filed under the name Plectosphaerella citrullae. Its description in RNAcentral is "eukaryotic LSU rRNA". It matches the Rfam family "Eukaryotic large subunit ribosomal RNA", at positions 70 to 669 of the family's 3401-position model. Lineage: Eukaryota; Fungi; Ascomycota; Sordariomycetes; Glomerellales; Plectosphaerellaceae. The record is from RNAcentral.
AGGGAUUGCCUCAGUAACGGCGAGUGAAGCGGCAACAGCUCAAAUUUGAAAUCUGGCUCCUUCGGGGUCCGAGUUGUAAUUUGCAGAGGAUGCGUCGGGUACGGGUCCCUACCGAGUUCCCUGGAACGGGACGCCAUAGAGGGUGAGAGCCCCGUCUGGUAGGAUACCCAGCCCAUGUGACGCUCCCUCGACGAGUCGAGUAGUUUGGGAAUGCUGCUCUAACGGGAGGUAUACUCCUUCCAAAGCUAAAUACCGGCUGGAGACCGAUAGCGCACAAGUAGAGUGAUCGAAAGAUGAAAAGCACUUUGAAAAGAGAGUCAAACAGCACGUGAAAUUGUUAAAAGGGAAGCACUCGCUACCAGACUUGGGUUCGGCGGUUCAACCGGGGCCACGCCCCGGGGCAUUCCGCCGGCUCAGGCCAGCAUCAGCUUUCCGUCGGGGGCAAAGACGUCGGGAAUGUAGCUCCUCCUCGGGGGAGUGUUAUAGCCCGGCGUGUCAUACCCUUCGGGGGGCUGAGGUACGCGCUUCUGCAAGGAUGCUGGCGUAAUGGUAGCUAGUGACCCGUCUUGAACAACCGACCAA